RNAcentral lists this ribosomal RNA (638 nucleotides) under uncultured cyanobacterium. RNAcentral's name for it is "bacterial SSU rRNA". It matches the Rfam family "Bacterial small subunit ribosomal RNA", at positions 8 to 674 of the family's 1533-position model. Lineage: Bacteria; Bacillati; Cyanobacteriota. The record is from RNAcentral.
AGAGUUUGAUCCUGGCUCAGGAUGAACGCUGGCGGUGCGCCUAACACAUGCAAGUCGUGCGAAGCUAACCCAACUUGUUGGGUCAAGACUUAGCGGCGGACGAGUGAGGAACACGUAAGAACCAACCCUUAGGAGGGGGAUAACAGCUGGAAACGGUUGCUAAUACCCCAUAUGCUGAGGAGUGAAAGGUGAAAACCACCUAGGGACGGGCUUGCGUCUGAUUAGCUAGUUGGAGAGGUAAUGGCUCACCAAGGCAACGAUCAGUAGCUGGUCUGAGAGGAUGAUCAGCCACGCUGGAACUGAGACACGGUCCAGACUCCUACGGGAGGCAGCAGUGAGGAAUUUUCCGCAAUGGGCGAAAGCCUGACGGAGCGACACCGCGUGGAGGAUGACGGCCCGUGGGUUGUAAACUCCUUUUCUUAGAGAAGAAUUUUGACGGUAUCUAAGGAAUAAGCAUCGGCUAACUCUGUGCCAGCAGCCGCGGUAAUACAGAGGAUGCAAGCGUUAUCCGGAAUGAUUGGGCGUAAAGCGUCUGUAGGUGGAUUUUUAAGUCUGCUGUCAAAGAUCACGGCUCAACCUUGGAAAGGCAGUAGAAACUAAAAGUCUUGAGUACGGUAGAGGCAGAGGGAAUUCCCGGU